This 12054-nucleotide long non-coding RNA is filed under the name Olea europaea subsp. europaea. The stretch from base 6072 to 6178 matches the Rfam family "Plant small nucleolar RNA R71". The record is from RNAcentral. Lineage: Eukaryota; Viridiplantae; Streptophyta; Magnoliopsida; Lamiales; Oleaceae.
CUCAACUCACAACUCAUAUUUAACACCAAAAUUCCAAAUCCUUAAAGCUCCAACUCUCCAUCUCCAUCUUUUCACUCCAGAUCUUCACCUUAAUCUCUACCACCCCUUGCACGUCUCAUACAAUCACCUCCAAUUUCUUAUACAUUUGGCCAUAUUAACUCUAGGAUCGAAUUUUCAUCUCUUAAUUUCAAUAUUUUAACCACAAAAAUUGUAACUUUCAUUCAAAAAUCAACCCAUCCAAGACACUAUAUUAUACAAUUAGAGGUUUGCUUGGGCUUUGAUUACUCUACCACAACAAGGAUUAUUCAAUUGAAACUAAGUGGUUUCUCUCUCUCUCAUUUUUUUUUUGGGAGUUAGUGAUGGUAUUGUUGGGGCCUGUGGUUAUAUACAUUGUGAAUCAUUGGUGAUAAAGUGAUUGUAGCUUAUGGUUUGAUUUGAAGAAGUUGGGUGACAUUGUUCUUUGAAUUGUGAGAGGUUGGAAUAGAUGCUCACUAAGUGUUUGACAAAAUUAUUAAAAGAAAAUCUAUAUCUUUGUUGUGAAUUUUGGUAUCAUAAUUGGAGUUUACAACAUAAGGGCAAUUUGACUUGGGUAUUGGUGGUUCGAAUUACUAGUUGCGUAUGUACUUUGAGAAAUUGACAUGGUUGAUUGAAGCAUUGUGAAUUGUUGACAUUUAAAAGUUUAAAAUGUUGUUGAAUAAGAAAUCCAAAAUCAUGGCAUCUUUAUCCUCUACUUUAUAUGAUAAGAAAAUUUUAUAAGUUCUACUGUAGAAGAUAGGUACACCAAAAUGUUAGUAGAUCGAAAUUCUAUAAAGGAAGGCGCAUUGAAAACUACAUGGAGGAUCAGAUUGCUAGUAGGAAUUGACAGGUAUUUACAAAAUAAUCAAGUUCAGCCUCGAUCCCAUUGGUAAGAGUAUUUUUCUCUAAUGCCAUGAAGCAUUCUUUUGACAGUUCAGCUAUCAACAAAUACUAUAUAGUACAAGAUAGACCUAAUGAUGACUACUUAAGAAUCCCUAAAGAAUGUGUUGAGCCUGAGAGAAUACUCAAUGUAUUGGCCAAGAAAGUGAUUGAAGAGAAACGAUCAUCCAGAACUUUCCAAUGUCAAGUAUAAGUCUCGAGUGCAAAAUCUAGCACUACUUCAUCUUUGCCAAACUCCUUCAAACCAGUAACAUUAGUAAGGCAACUAAAGAAAGAGUAAUACUGAAUUAUACUCUUUAAAGGGAUUACUCAAUUGAUAUUGGGAAUGUCAUUCACAACAGCAUUCUAGCACCUAAUGGGGUCUACCACUGUUGGUUUAGGACAUCCCUCAUUAAUAUAUGAUUUAUGUAUAAAAGCAAGUGUCGUGGUAAAACCAUCUGAAGAGGUAGUACAUCCCAGACCAGUUCUCAUGCCGGGCCAUAGAAGAAAGGUUUCUGAGUCAUUGGGGCUCACAAUGGAUUCUUCGAUACCUCAGGAACCUCAUCCAUCUCUACUAGCUAGAGAAACUAGUAAUGACAUUACUAGUCAACUUCAUGCCAUGAACUUGCAAAUGAUGCAAUAGCUGAAAAGAAUGUAACUGCAAUUUAAUCAAAUGCAGAACUCAAUGCACGACUAAUUUCUCUAUCAGAAUAAGUUCAACAAAGAUUUGGCGUCCAUGUUCCCUGAUCAGACUUUCCUUAACCACCAUUAUUUCCUUAUCAUUCUCACAAUCUAGCUCCGCCAAACCAAGAUGCCAUGAGGAUGAAAAUAAUUAAUGUCUUCAUUCGGGUCAGUUAUCUCUCUUGUCUUUAAUUUUACAUUGAAGAUAAUGUUUAGUUUAAGUUUGAGGAAGUAUUUUACCUUAAUUGUUUAUUUAGUUAAUAGUUUGUGUGUGAUUUUUAUUUUUUUCUUUCUUAUGUUUUAUGUGUUAUUAAGUCUGAAACGUGAAAAAAAAAUUCUAUGCUUUUGCAUGCUUGUAUGAGUUAGUUAGCAUUGCCAGCAACGAUGCAUAUAUUUGAGAAAUUAUAUCAGUUUGUGAAUUGUGAGUACAUAAUGUGCUUUAGUUAAGUUUUUGCUUAUUCUUGUAAAAUGUUAAUAUAAUGAUGUUCAUUAAUUAAGUUAAAGUUGUUUAGGAAAUAUGUUGAUUCAUAUAUGGUUUAAGUUGAAUUAGUAGCCUUGCAUACUAAAUCCAAAACAGUCAGUAAAAAUCUUAUAUCCUUAACCCAAUCUAGUAUAGUUUGAGUGGUUUAGUUGUUAUAGGAAAACUUGGAGAUAGAUGAGGAUUUAGUGUGUGUGUAUAUUGUGUGGAUUAUCUAAGACCAAUGUCAUGAAAUUUGGGUGAAAACCUUAAAUGAGAGACCGAUUUUUCAAGAAUGUGUUUAGUAAGAUGAAUUGCACUAAUCACCACUUCAAAGGGAAAAAGACGCCUUGUUGUGGGGUUGUCCUAAAAAAUCUCAAUGAGGACAACUAUAAUAAUCUUCUUGUGAAACAUCUCUUCAUAGCCUUUAUGACUUGAGUGAUUAAGUCUGUAAUGGUUUAAAACCUGAUGCUUUAUAGUCAUCUAAUUUGGGAGUCAUCAACCAAAAGCUCGCUACAGAGGUCAUUUAAAAAGUUUAAUGAAAAAAUGUCCAAUUAAUUCUCCAAUUAAUUGAUUGCUUCGACCAUCAAGACUCAAUUAGGCUAAUUAUCCUUCAUCGAAAGUCAAAUUUCCUCGAACAAUUGCUAAGACUUAACAAGGUAAUAAGUGCUUUUACUUCUUUCAUGCACAUGCUUUUUCUGAUUUUUAAAAGAUUUUUUUUUGCACUCCCCCAUAAGCUUUCUAGAUGACCAAUGUAGUAGGCUUUAGGCCAAUUAUUCCCAAGUCAGACGACUUUAGGGCACCAGAUUUUCAAAUACCCUUACAAGCUUAAUAAUCCGAGUAAAAAAAAAAAGAACUUCGAAGAGAACAAGUUUUUUAUUUUUGUAAGGACAACUUCAUCUAUGAUCACUUCUAAAUGAUCCAUGUAGCGAGUAUUAGGCUAAUAACUCCCAAGUCAGAUGAUUUUAGGAUACUAGGUUUUAAUAUACCCUUGUAGGCUUAAUUAAUUGAGUCAUAAAGACUUCAAAGAAAAUGUUUAAAUUUCAAAAUAUAUGCAUUGAUUAGUGAAAUGACCCUUAACACACACCUAUUUAAUCAAAUCGACCUCCAUUUUAAGACUUUCACCCAAUUUUAUCCUGUUAAUCUAAGACAAUCCACACAAACUUUUUUACACGAGGAAUCCAUAUUCACAUCCGUAUCUUCCUACAACAUCAAGGUUACCCCCAAACUGUGCUAAAUUUGUUUUUAAGGAUAAAUAAUAGUAUGGUUUAGGUAAAGCAUCUAUUUCCAGCUUAAUCAAUCUAUCACAUACAUGAAUCAACUCAUUUCAUCACAAUGUCAACUCAAUUUUAGUGCGCAUAUAAUAUCUAGUUUUGCAAGUUUAAACUUCAAUCAAUCUAACAUGCAUCCUAUCCACAAUUCAUAAAUCAACAUCAAAUCUCAAAUUUUAAUCAUCAUUUUCGGUCAAACUGUCUAGCCUACACAAGCACACAAUUAGGAAUAAUAAUAAUUGAACGAUUUUAUUAUUAUUAUUUUUUACUUAACACACAAUUUUUUUAAAUAAACACAUAAAAAAAAUGCACAAAAAGAUACAAAAGCCAAAAGUAAGAAUAUAAAGAAAUGGGGAAGAAAUGGAAGAAAAUACUCCUUGAAGUUCUCUGUUGAAUGUGUUAGGCAUUAUGGAUGAAGGCUCGACAAUCUCUUUCAUCACACUUUUCCUCUAGUCUAUGCUGGUUUGAGUGUUCUACGAUGUCAUGUUCCUACAUUUGAUGGUCAGAUCAAAUAUUGGAGAUCAAAUAAUCUAGAACAUGUGUUACUUAGCCCAAACAAUCAAAAUAACUAACACUAGAUUCAAGGGCCUAAAAGGAACAACGAGGAUUGUGAUACCCUACAAAUUGAAACAUCUUAAGUCUAAUGCAGACUAAUAAUCAAAAUAAAUCUAUAUGCAAAUGCAGUGUAAAAAGUAAAAUAAAUAAAAGAGAUAGAAGGUUGGGUUGCCUCCCAAUCGGUGUUUAAUUUAUAGUCUUUAGCUGGACUAUCAGAUCGAUCAUUUUAUGUUAUGAAGUUGGAUGAGUGACUUCUCUUUAUCGAAGUCACCACCCUAAUAUGCUUUCAACCACUACCCAUUUACUUUGAAGGUUCCUUUUGUCUUAUGAGUCACUUCAACUACCCCAUAUGGAAAGACUUGAACAACUGUGAAUGGUCAAGACCAUCUAGAAUGCAGCUUCCCAGGAAAAUGUUUCAACCUAGAAUUGAAACAUAGUACUUUUUAACCUGGAUUAAACUUAUGCCUCUGGAUGUAUUUAUCAUGCAAUUUCCUCGUCAUCUCCUUGUACAGUUUUGUAUUCUUGUAGGCAUCCAUCUGAAAUUCAUCCAACUUAUUUAACUAUAGCAUCCUCUUAUCUCUAGCUACUGUUAGAUCCAUGUUUAACUGCUUUAUUACACAAUAUGCUCGAUACUCCAAUUCCACUAGAAGGUGACAAGCUUUUCCAAAUACAAGGCGAUAUGGUGACAUUCCUAUUGGUGUUACACUACUCGAAUGGCAUCCUUCUGUAUGCAAAAGUACCAUAAGGGCAUGUAAAUGUAGUCUUCUCUGAUCGUUUGGAGCUACUGCAAUCUGAUUGUAACUCGAUUACCUAUCUAAGAAGCAAAAGUAUGAAUGUCCAGCUAGUCUCUCCAAUAUCUGAUCGAUAAAGGGCAAAAGAAAGUGAUCUUUUCUAGUUACAUUGUUUAGUUUUCUAUAGUCUAUAUAUAAUCUCCAUCCCAUGACUGGUCUUGUCGGUAUCAGCUCAUUGUUCUCAUUCUUUACCACUGUAAUACCUCCUUUCUUUGGAACAACAUGGAUUGGACUAACCCACUUACUAUCCGAGAUCGGAUAGAUGAUGCCUGCAUCAAGUAGUUUCAAUACCUCUACUCGCACAACGUCCUUCAUGGUGGGAUUCAAUCCGCGCUGAUUUCCACUGUUGGCUUAUACUCUUCUUCCAUCAAGAUUUUGUGCAUGCAUAUCAAUGGACUGAUUUCUCUGAUGUCUGUUAUAGACCACCCAAUGGUUGUUUCGUAUUCCCGUAAGACCCUUAGAAGUCUCCACUCUUCCAGCUCAGUCAUCUCAUUCGCAAUGAUCACGGGGAGUGUAGAUGACUCUCCUAAAAAAACAUACCUCAGAUGUGAUGACAAUUGCUUGAACUUAAGAUUUGGUGUUUUCUGAAUAGAAGGUAGUGGUUUACUAUGUCCUGUAUCAAGUUCUUCAAGCUGCCUUCUUCUGAUGGAUGGAGCAGACUCUAUAAUGUAGGGAAAUGACUUAUCUCUUCAACUGUUGAUGUUUUAUCUCGUGAAUGCACACGAAGAUUUGUUUCAGCGUUACUCGCAAUGUUCCUGAUAGUCUCUCUGAAAGUGCCUUGGCUAUUUGUCCCAUUUGAUUCUCCAAAUUUUUUAUGGUAGAACCUUGAACUUGCAAACUCUUAUCCGUACGUUGUAUGUGUUGAGUAGAUAUUUCUGGUAACUUCGUCACAAGAUCUUCCAGUGAAGACUUUUUCUCAUUUUGCUGAAAUCCUGGUUGUGUAAUCUAUUAUGGCGCAAUUCGAGCUCCCUGAUUAUUGCUCCAUUGAAAGUCUGGGUGAUUUCUCUAACCUGGGUAAUAUGUGUGAGGAUUUUGAUUUUGUUGUUGCCUUUGAAAAUUUUAAGUGUAGUUAAUGUCUUCUACUGUUUGAGCAAAAAGAGAUCCUACAGUACAGUCAACACUUUCGUGGCUCCUUCCACAAUGUUAGCAUUUCGAUCCCACCGCCUCGGCUACACUCAUCUAAUCUACCUUCUAUGCCAAUGAUGCCAAUUGUUGCUAAAAUUGCUGUUAAAGAAUCAAUUUCGAAUACCUUAGCAGCUUUCUUUUCACUUGUUCUUUCUGUUGAAUACUAAAUCUUCCAUUAUUUGGUAGACCUAAUUCAUGGUUUGUUUUGUGAUAGAACCAUCACAUGCAGAGUCUACAUUAGCACUGCUAAUCGGGUUCAAACCAAUGUAAAAGUAUUGCAUUUGAAGCCACUUCUAUAAUCGGUGUUGUGGGCAUUGGCAAAAUAAACCUUUGUAUCAUUCCCAAUCCUUUGAAUAUCAUUCUGAGUCCAUUUGUUGAAAAGUAGUGAUCUUGUCCCUUAGUAUCGCAAUCUUUUUCGGUGGAAAAUAUUUGCUAAGAAAUUUCUGACUCAAUUGGCUCCAUGUUGUGAUGCUCUAAGUUGGGCAAGUGUCUAACCAUUCCCUCGCUGAGUCCCUCAAUGUGUAUGGAAAGAGCCUUAGUCUGAUUGCUUUGCUUGAAACCCUCAGAUACUCAGUUGUUGCACACAUGUCCAAAAAUCUUGAUAUAUGAGCGUUGGGAUUCUCCGUAGCUCUCCUAAAGAAAUGUAGCGUAUUUUGGAACAUAUUGAUAACAUCCAUUCUCAAGUGGAAGUUUGCUUGACCAAACACUAGACAUAAUAAAUUAGAAUGGCUUUCCACUAUCGGUGGAACCAUAUACUCUCCCAUGAGCCUUGUGUUUUCAUUGAUUGCAGUUAUAUUCGGUUGUACUACUCCUAGAUUAGCCCCGAUGGCUAUUUGAUUUGGAUUUUCAUUUGUCAUAUCUUCCUCUUUCUGUUUUUGGUGUGUUUCAAACUGUUGUCUUUUUCGAAGGUUGAAUGUUCAUUCAUCUUCGGGUCAAAUUGAGCAAGAUCACCAGUUCCCGAGCUUCGCAUACAACGUCCUAAGAAUGAGAGCAAGAAACACUAUAAAAAUUUUCUAAAUUAAUAAACUAACUAAAUAAAAUAAAAUAAAAUAAAAUUUAGAUUAAAGGUAAAAUUAGUUAAAACUUAUCAAAAAUUAUAAUCCCCGACAACGAUAUCAAAAACUUGUUCGUUUGAUUACCCAUAAGUGAAUAUGAUCGUGAACAAGUAAUAAAAUAGUGUAUAGAGUGUCGAACCCACGAGAAUUAUGUGUUUGAUUGAGUUAAACCUAACAAUUUCCUUAAUCGAAUAGCAAAAUUGAUUAUAACUAAUAGUAUUAAAUCUAUUAACUAAAUUGAAAGAAAUGUAAAAAUUCACCAAAUUUGAGAGAAGUUUUGUUAAGAUAUAAAAUCCCCCUUGCUAAUCCAUUUUUAGUUCAACAAAUUAAUUGACAAUUUGAAUCAUGCUUGUUGGUUAAUGUUCCUAUUUUAUUUAAAAGCUUCUCUCGAUAACAAUUAAAUCUAUUCUCCUCAUGUGAUAUUCCUAUCUCUCGAUGAAAGAUGCGAACAUGAUAAAUGCUACAACUUUAAGGUUGCAAACCCAAGUACAAGUUGUCUCAAGUAGUAAACUCGAAAGUCCAAGGUCGAACCACAGAAAAUUGAAAGGAAAUAAACUAUUCUAUGAGUGGUAAAUGGUUGGUGGAAAUACGAUAAAGAAGAACACUAGAGCAUUGGGGAUUCACUUCAGAUAAUUGGGUAGGAAUUACUCGUGAUCUUUUAUUUAACUCAUAUGAAAUAUGGAAGAUAAAAUAUUGAUCACAAAUAUACUAAAAGAUAAAUUUUGAUAAUUGUUUGAGAGUCAAAAUAAGUUGUUAUGUAGAAAUUAUCUAAGCAUUGAUUGUGCCAAAACUUGUCAACAAUAAAUCAAAAUCUUUAACAAACCAAAACCAUUUGAAGAACAUGUAAUUCAACCAAGUAAGAAGAUGUACAUUUAAGAACAAAGUGAAAGAUCAAAAACAAUACUAGACAUUUACAAAAGUUUCACCCCUAGCUCUAGCUAAAGUUUUAGAAAUACAUAAUGAAAUGCUACAAAAAAAAUAAAGGAAACUAGAAUAUGAUAAAGAGGAAUUGAUGCCCUCAAAAUCUUGGCCAAGGUCCCCUUUUAUAGGCAAAGGAAUAUCUAAAAUGCAAGUGGAUAAUGUAACUUGUUUCUGUUCCAGCUUCAAGAUAGCUGGAAUAUGCAACUUGAUACCAAUUUUUAGAUAUUUUGUACAGUGAAUUUGGAAUUAUGAUCCACAGAUAAAUUGUUAUCACUUGAGUUAGUUUUCCAUUGGUCCAAACAUCAAGUCCAUUGGAUCUUUAUAACUUCAGAUAUGGCCAAAAAAUGAGUGCUGCUCAUAGGUAGAAAAGCUGUAUCUGGUAAGUAACAACUUGAAUUUUACACGGUAAUUUUGGCUACCUUAUGAUGCAAAUUUGACUUCUUGAUAAACAUGAAAGUUGUAAAUACAUAUCUUAUCUUUCCAACCUGACUUGAAUCCCCUUGUUUCGAUAGCUAAAGCUCGAGUUAUGACCAUUUUAUCGAGACAACUAAUCAUUUUUUACUUUUCAACAUCUUUUCUCCACUUGUUCUACCUCGGAAAUACAUGUGAAAUACAUCAAACAAAUACUCCUUCAAAAGUAUAAUACUCAUGCCACAUGUAUUUAAAUACGUAUUUUGAUUAAUUGCACUUUUGACCAUGUAUUUAUGGAAAUUGAAUUUACGCCAAGAAAAUUGAAAUUAGAGACUAACAUUAGUGUUUUUAAACAAAGUGAAUGCAAAAUGCCUUGUAAAUAAUAUAUUUUUGAAGCACUUUUAGACACUAAUCAAUAAAUGCAUUAAAUGAGCUAGAACAUCUUAUAACAACCAUAUGAAACAUAGAGGUAUGUCUAUAUUCUCUAUCGAACCUCACAAUACUUAUUACUAUGUGCUAAUGAUCUUAUUAUCUCUCUUAAUGAUAAUAAAAUUCACAAACAAUUCAAUUAAUGGUCAAUUAAUUGAAAAGCUAACGAAACAAUAAUAAAUAUCCAAACAAUUAAAGAAACUAUCAUCAAAGUAAUUAUUCAAACUAAGAACUUCACAAUAAGGGUUCAUCACAUCCUAACAAUAUUAAAAAGUUUAGUCAAGCAUAUUGUUGAAAUUAAAUACACACAAGUUAAAAGGCAUCACCAAACUUUGACGAAACGUGAUUAGUUCUCCCUAUUAAAGUUGCUGUCUUCUUCCUCGUAUUUUGUCAGCUUCUACCUGUCUUCUGUGUGGGUAUAAUAAAAAGGCAGCAGGCAGCUCGUUUCUUCUUUUAAACUUCAAUUCUUUGCUCCUGUGCCCCUCUCUCUCUCUCUCUCUCUCUCUCUAUAUAUAUAUAUAUAUCUCUAUAUAUAUAUAUAUAUAUAUAUAUAUAUAUAUAUAUUAGUUGUUUUGAGUUCUUUUGUUUUUCAUUCCAGCAGGCAGUUUCUUCUUCUUCCUUUGUCUGCGCGUGUGUAUAAUAUAUUUCUUGGUGCCCAAUUUCUGAAUUUUUCCUUUCUUCCUUGGCUACCAUUUAUGGUAUGUAUAUGUAUUAAUUAACUUCAAUCGGCAGCCCGUGUUCUUUCUUUUGCAGCAGCCCAAUUUGUCUGCCAAAAGUUUAACUCUAAUUCUUUGUCCUAAAGCUACUGCCAAUGUGUUUGAUUUCAGCAGCACAACUGAUUUUUGUCUCCCAACCGUCGCCUUCAAUAUUUCUCUCCUUUUUCCUCCAACUUGGUGCCGUAUUUUCUAAUGUGUAUCCCCCUCUCAUCCCUAGCUUCCUGUGUGUAUAUUUAUAUCUACUACAACUGCAAUAAGUUGGAGUCCAGCUUGGAGUGAAUUUCUUUGGAUAAAACACACCAAAAACUAAAGAAAGUUCAGCCCACUUUUGUUUUCAAUUUCCUACAGCUUGAUUGGAUUUAUUCCAGUUAAAGUCCAAACAUGAGGCCCAUUUAAUGUAUAAUUUUCUUCAAGCCUUCCUUUCUUUUAAAAUAGCGCAAUUUAGUCCCUCUUCAUUUCCAGUUGCUUCAAACAAGUCCAUCACUGAAAUAAACAAAAUUAACUCAAAUUAAGUAUAAAGUUCACUAAUUUGACAACAUACAAGUUUAGUACUAUGGCAUAAAUAAGUGCACAAAAUGCACUUAUCAUUAAUCAAGGUAUGCAGCGCAUCUUCUGUUUAAUGCAGCUAUUUUUUUCAAACUUGCUAUAUGUAUUCUAUCUAAUGCUCUAGCACUAUCCCUUUUGAGUUUCUUAUUUGGAUAUUGAAUAUUUCUUCUCAUUAGGGUUAGGAUCACAACAUGACAAUUGUUUUCCUCUUUAUGCAAUAAUUAGUAUAAUGUCACUCAUUAAAAGAACAGUAUCAAAAACUAACCAUAAACUUAAGAUUUUUAAGUUUUCAUCUUGUAAGCUAAUAAGUGCAUUUUGCACACUUAUUUGGAUCAUAUUACUAAGCUUUUAUAUCAUGAAAAUGUUUACUUAACUUGGAUUAACUUUCAUUUAUUUCAAUGAUGGAUCUAUUCCUAAUGCAAGUGGAAAGGAAAAAUGAAAAAUCUAAAGUACGAGGGCAAAAUUGCAAUAUUUUAAUAGUUGAUUCGGACCAUGAAAUGAAGAUUAAAGAUGUUUCGGGUUCAAUUGGAUGCAAUUAGAAGUCAAAGGGUUGAAAUUGCAAGAGAAAGGAUUUAAAAGGAUUAAGAAUUGAAUUCAAAAACUAAAAUGCAACAUUCGGAAGUUUUUAUAACUGGACAAUUGUCGAGAUAUUUAGAGUGGGUGACAACCCAACAUCAAGGAAUGGUUAUCGAGGUAAAAAAACAUAGCUUGGUUGAAUGCGUGGGUUUUUCUUGGGAGACUGCCCAAGUCAAUCGCGGGGAAAAAUUAUGAUUUCCUUAUCUGACUGAAAUUCUUAUGGAAACAAAUAUUGAAAAUUAUUUUAAAACCCUAAGGUCAUCCCAAAGUAGGCACCCCUCAUUCUAAUUGAUUUGUAAGAAUUUGGAGAGCAUUGACAGAGGCAAGAAACAUGAAGAAAACCCGAAGACGUGAGGAUUCAAAUCAACAAUUAAUUUGGUGAUGUCGUUUCUUCAAGAUUCCUUUUUGUUUUCUAACUUCCACCACACCUUGGCUUUGGGCCUCCGAGCCUCGAGCCGGACCUGUUGGGCUUUUUUGGGGCGAAGCCAUUGUUGGCUCGAGCCAACGAGCACGAUUGCCAUCCUUACUCUCGAUGUUUGAGCCUCGAAUUAGCCAAUAAAAUUUUUUUGUCUGCAAAGGUUUUUUUCCACAAAUAAAAACAUUUCCCUAUGAAUAAAAUUUUUAGGGAAAAUGUAAAACUCUUGUAGUACAUUGAACCACUUGUUCUUCGCUAGUGGCAGGCACCUAAUCCUCCUUGAUCCGUUUUUUCUUUAUAGUGAUUUCUAGUAGCUAAAAUCUACAUCUCUUUGUGAUGGCUUGAACUUGUUCCUCUUUCAGUGACACAUAAGCUCGAAUGGGGAUAACUAUCUUGACUGAUGGUGUCUCAAAAACUUCAUAAUCUAUAACUUUAAUUGCUAGUAACGGUUCUUUAUUUUAUUUAUUUUUUUUUUUUUUGUUGUCACUUGGCAAGGUACUUGUGUUAUUUUGUACAAUGAAGCAGUUGUUGGCCUACCCGAGUUUCCAACUUACUGAUUGCUACCUACUGGUUCUAAAAUUAGUCUCAGUCUUUGUAAUGUACUGAGUCAUUUGAUCUCCUAAAGAUGACUACUUCUUCUCUCGUUCCUAAAAUCCUGGUGGUGUUAUCGAGAAUCUUUUUUCCUAAUCUAGUUUUAUUAAUGUUUUCUCGACAAUCGCUAAACACGUUAUAUUUAUUUUUUUCAAAAUAAAUUAAUUCUAUGCUAAACACGACUCGAUCAUAUUUCUAGUUCGAAUUCAAAUGAGUAGAACGUAUUCAAUUAUACGAUUAUCUAAAUGAUUGCACAUGUGAUAUUGUUACCCUAAUAUCUAUUGCCCGUAUGUUAACCUUGUAGAAUUCUAAACUUAAUUUUGAAACAAUUAAUUCUAGUAAUAAAAAAUUUUCGGGACUUUACACGUUACUCAUGAAGGAAGCACCGUUUGGUGUUCAAAAUGAGAAAGAGAUUGAUGAUGACACCAAUGACCAAAGUUUGCAUUUUUGAAUAUAUAUAUAUAUUUCUACCACUUAUUUCAGUGCCUUCCUACUUAGUAUUGUUUAUGGUACUCAUCCCUAUUAAAAUUUUACAGGUUGAUUCGUGGCAUGGUCGUGGUUUGGCAUUGUGGCAAAUGCUCGGUGAUUUAAAAAGGUGUCAACUUUCUAGUAAAAUUUCC